Molecule: long non-coding RNA, 2170 nt
Filed under: Anas platyrhynchos platyrhynchos (common mallard)
Lineage: Eukaryota; Metazoa; Chordata; Aves; Anseriformes; Anatidae
Description: lncRNA (ENSAPLG00000022537.1)
Source: RNAcentral
AUGCCAGCAUUUACAGCAAGAAAAUGCUUAAAUCUGUCACUCCAUGUCUGGCUAGUUUCUUAUUCCCUCCACCCCCUUCUCCUCUCUCUGUUCCCCUUUCCUGACACCCAGACAACUCUGGCCGUGCCCUCUCCUCCCGAUAUCUGCAGUUUUAGCAGUAUCACACAGCUCCAGGGAUGCUCAGCAAAGUGCCUUUUAAAGGGCCCCAAGUCAGAAACCUCAAACGCGGUCCUACUGAAGAGACAAACGCAGGAGCGGAGACAAAUUGGGCACUCCGGGGUCCGCGGCGAGCAGCAGCAGCAGCCGCCUUCCUCCAUCUCCAGUAGGAAGCGCAAAGGAGCGGGGGGGGAGCGCGGGGGCAACCCGGCCCCGUGCCCCCCCCCCCCCCCCCCCCCCCCCCCCNNNNNNNNNNNNNNNNNNNNNNNNNNNNNNNNNNNNNNNNNNNNNNNNNNNNNNNNNNNNNNNNNNNNNNNNNNNNNNNNNNNNNNNNNNNNNNNNNNNNGGGGGGGGGCAGCGCUGGGAAAGGGGGUGACAGGGAGGGGGGGCAGCGCUGGGGGGGUGCGAGGAAAAGGGGAGACGGGGGAUGAAGGUGGGGACCGAGGGUCGCCAGUAAACGGAUGGGGAGGGGAGGGGAGAGUUGGGGGGGGGGGGGGGGGCGAAGGGGGGGGGGGGACGGGGGGGGGGGGGGGGGGGCGGCUACCUGCGGGCGAGCGCGGGUCGCUCUCGCUGCUGCGGGGCUGCGGGACGAUCCGUGGCCGGGCGAGGGGCUGGGAAGGGGGCAGCGGCCGGUCACUGAGUCAUGAGCCCGCUCUGCCCUGCCUUGCCCUGCCCUGCCCUGCCCUACCCCGGCUGCCCGCCGCUCGCCUCCCUUUCUUCUCUCUGUCCCCCCUCCCGGAGCCGCGGCGGCGGCGGCCGCUGUUGUGCUGCUGCUGCUGCUGCUCCCGCCGCCGCUCCUGCCCCCGCUGCCCGGAGAGAAGUGAAGCCGCCGCCGCCGAGGACGCGCGCGCGCGCGCCCCCGACGCCGACGCCUCCGCCGCGCGCGCCCCCGAGAGCUCGCUCCCUCGCUCCCUCUCCCCCUCUCUCUCCGCCCCCCCCCCCCCGCGGGGGGGGGGGGGGGGAGCGAGGGAGGGAGGCAGGGAGCGCGCGCGCGCGCCCCCGCCAGCCAAUUAGCCCGGGCGCUCAAGGGAGGGGCGCGCGGGAGCGCGCUUUGGGAUAGGGGGUGGGGGAAGGGGGUGCGCGCUCCCGCUGGGGCGGGGGAAGGGGAAAGGGAAGGGGGGGGGGGGGGAGGGGCCGGGGGGGGGCGGGGGGAGCAGGGUCGGCACGGCCCGGCCACAGGGCAGGGGGGGCGGCAUCCGCGGGGCCAACUUUGUUCGCCCAUCUUUCCCCUUUGUCCGCCCCCGGCCCCCCACCGGCGGCCCUUCCUCCGCGGGAUCCCCCCACGGUGCCCGAGCCCCCCGCGGGGCCCGGCCCGGGGCUCCCAAGGGGGCUGCGGGGGUCUGGGGGCGGCGGCCAGGUGAGGGGAGGCCGGGGCAGAGCUGCCCCCCGAGAGGCUCCCCCGGGGCAGGCAGAGCCCCCGGGGCUGUCAGGGAGCCGGCUCCGCUGGCCUAGCCGAGGGAGAGCCUUGGGCCGCCGCCGCUGCUUCGCUCCGGGCGUAGCGAGCGAGCGGAGCUCACCUGUGCUCUGUCAACUUUUACUUCAUCGAGACCUGUGUCGGCCAACACGCCGGCCACGGCUCGAGGAGUCAAAAUGUUUCCCCCUUUUUGACGGCAAAAGGGAAUUGACGAACGCCUUCUUGCCAUCCCGCAUGCAAAAGGGAAAAGUUUCUCCCUGCUUGAGCUGCAGGGCAUUAUACUUUUUCUGACUCAUGGUUACAGUGUAGGUGGAGUCCGGGCUCCCAAACAUACAGAAAUUGAGAACUUGAAGCGCUGCCGAGACGUUUAAGGAUUAGGAGCUUUAUUGGCACCCGGCUCUCAUGCUAUAUCCGGACAGCAGAAGUGAUUUUUGCAGUUUCUCUGUACAUAAAAUUAAUCUUGCUCUUUGUUGAUAAAUUGUUUUGAAAUAACUUGCUUUAUUGUCUCUUCCUGUUUCAUUGUUAAAUAAUCCCAGUGACGUUUUCACCUAAACUUAAAAACGCCGCAGUCAGCUAGUUCUACCCAUUUCAUGUGCAUUU